UCGCCGCCCCCUCCCCUGCGCUCCGCUCCCCUCCCAGCCGGCGGCCGCCGCUGAGGGGCCGCCUACGCCAUGGUGCUGGAAUCCGUGGUGGCGGAUCUGCUAAACCGCUUCCUGGGCGACUAUGUGGAGAACCUGAACAAGUCUCAGCUCAAGCUGGGCAUAUGGGGGGGUAAUGUGGCACUUGACAAUUUACAGAUAAAGGAGAAUGCAUUGAGUGAACUGGAUGUACCUUUUAGAAUAAAAGUUGGUCAGAUAGAUAAACUUACUCUGAAGAUUCCUUGGAAGAAUCUCUAUGGGGAGGCAGUUGUUGCAACUCUAGAAGGCUUGUAUCUUCUGAUAGUUCCUGGAGCAAGUGUUAAAUAUGAUGCAGAGAAGGAAGAAAAGUACUUGCAGGAUAAUAAACAAAAGGAACUGGCAAGAAUUGAGGAAGCCUUGCAGAAAGCAGCAGAAAAAGGCACCCAUUCACAAGAUUCCUUGUAUGGGUUGGAGAGCCUGGUUUACAAGGACACCAAGCCUGGACGUAAGCGUAAAAAGUACAAAAAGCAUUUUAAGAGACCCUUUAGAGGUCGUGAUCACUCAAAAGACAAACCAAAGGAAGAGAAGAAGGAUACUUUCUUAGAAAAGCUUGCAACUCAAGUUAUAAAAAAUGUACAAGUCAAAAUCACAGGCAUUCAUGUUAAAUACGAAGAUGAUAUCACAGACCCACAGUGCCCGAUUUCCUUGGGAAUGACGUUGGGGGAGCUGAGUUUACUGACAACAAACGAGAACUGGACACCUUCCAUUCUGAAUGAAGCUGCAAAAAUAAUAUACAAGCUUUUGUGCCUGGACAGCCUCAGUGCUUAUUGGAACAUAAACAGCAAAAUGUAUUAUCAUGGCUCCCGUGAACAAAUACUGGACCAGCUGAAAAAAGGAAUUCCCUGUCAUGGUCACCAGCCUGAAGACUACCAGUACAUUUUCAGACCAGUGUCAGCCUCUGCAAGACUCUAUAUCAACCCAUAUGCAGAAGUAGAACUGAAAACUCCUAAGAUUGAUUGCAAUGUAGAAGUACAGAGAAUUGUCAUUGAAUUCACUAAGCCACAGUACCUCAGCAUGAUAGACCUGCUGGAGUCCAUAGAUUACAUGGUUCGCAAUGCACCCUACAGAAGAUUUAGGCCAAAUGUGCCUCUCCAUAAAAAUGCCAAGGAAUGGUGGAAAUAUGCAGGUAACAGUGUUCUGGAAGUUCACAUCAGAAGGCGUACUCGAAUGUGGUCGUGGAGUAACAUCAAACAGCACAGGCAGCUUCUGAAGAGUUACAAAAAUGUGUACAAGAACAAGCUCACACAGAGCAAACUGUCAGAAGAAACACAGAAGCAAAUCCAGGACCUGGAAAGAAAACUUGAUGUCUUCAAUACAAUCUUAGCAAGACAACAAGCACAAGUUGAGACAAUAAGAUCAGGACAAAAGCUACUGAAGAAGAAGAGCGCUGAAGCAGAAAAGAAAAGUGGAGGAUGGUUUAGUGGUUUUUGGGGUAAAAGAGAAUCUAAGAUUAAAGAAGAUGAAGAACCACUCGUGCCUGAAACUCUUGAUGAACUAAUGACACCAGAGGAGAAAGCUAAACUUUAUACUGCUAUUGGAUAUAGUGACAGCUCCCAUCACCUUUCAUUACCAAAGCAGUAUGUUGCCCAUGUUGUGACACUGAAGCUGUUAAGCACUUCUCUUACAAUUAAAGAAGACAAGAAUGUGGCAGAAACUCUAAAAGUGCAGAUGAUUGAUCUGAGCACCAAAAUAUCCCAGCGCCCAGGAGCACAAGCCAUUAAGGUUGAAGCAAAGCUUGAAAACUGGUAUGUGACGGGCCUGAGACAAGAAAACAUUGUGCCAUCUCUUGUGGCUUCCAUAGGGGAUAGCAAAUCUUCUCUGCUUAAAAUUGAGUUUGAUAUUAACCCAGAGGACAGCACAGCUGACCAGAGCCUUACUAUUGAAUCACAGCCUGUGGAAGUAAAAUAUGAUGCAAGAACAAUAAAUGCAAUGGUAGAAUUCUUUCAGACAAGUAAGGGAAUGGAUCUUGAAAGAUUAACAACAGCCACCUUAAUGAAACUGGAGGAAAUCAAGGAGAGAACUGCUACAGGAUUAGCUCACAUUAUUGAAAUGAGGAAAGUCCUUGACUUGAGGAUUAAUCUGAAACCUUCCUACCUGGUGGUUCCACGGACUGGUUUCUACCAUGAAAAUUCAGAUUUGCUGAUUCUGGACUUUGGUACAUUUCAGCUGAACAGCAUAAAUCAAGGCAGUAGUGAAGCUUCUAACUUUUCAUCUUUAGAGGAGAUUAUGGACAAAGCUUAUGACAAAUUUGAUGUGAAAAUUAAAAAUGUGCAACUUCUUUUUGGGAGAACAGGUGAAGACUGGAAGAAGGCUCGUUUUCAACACCCAUCAACUUUGCACAUUUUGCAGCCUAUGGAUAUCCAUGUACAGUUGGCAAAAUCAAUGGUGGAAAGAGAUUCCAGGAUGGCAAAGUUUAAAGUGUCAGGAGGACUUCCUUUGGUGCAUGUCAGACUCUCUGACCAGAAAAUCAAGGCAAUCUCUGAUCUGAUUGAUAGCAUUCCACUGCCUCAGAAGUCAUCUGUGUCAGUUCCAAGCACAAAGGUACCAGCUAUUCCCACAAUUCCUGUUGUUGGCAAAGGGCUGCUUAGUACACCCCAGCUGUUAGCAGAAAUGGUGUCAGACUCUGAAGAAGAAUAUUUUGAUUUUGAGGAAAGCUCUGAACCAAUUGACAGUUCAGUAAUUAAAGGAGAAGAAAUAAGAAAAGAGGAGCCUGCUCAGGAGGAACUGACAGAUCUUCACCUCAAGUUUGAAAUUAAAGAAGUUUUAGUAGAGCUCACCAGACAAAAGACAAUUGAGGAAACAGUGCUUGUAUUUGAUGUAAUGCAUCUUGGGACAGAAGCUACUGUCAAAACCUACAAUUUAGCAGCUGUAUCUUAUUUGAAGCAGAUAAGCUUGGAUUACUAUGGAACUGGAGGUAAAAAAGGACCCAUUCAUCUAAUUAGUUCCUCAGACAAGCCUGGCUUAGACCUGCUGAAAGUGGAAUAUGUCAAGGCUGACAGAAAUGGGCCACAGUUUCAGACAGUUUUUAACAACACUGAACAGAUGAUUCAGGUGACUUUUUCAUCACUGAACCUCCUGCUGCACACAGAGGCCCUUAUGUCUGCUGUCAGUUUUCUAACAGCUGUUAGUCCAUCAGGCACUGAAAGAACUGGAGAGACACCAUCCAAAGAAAAAAAGCAAGAAGAUGACUCUAGAUUGAUGAAAGUGUCUAAACCUUCCAAGGAUAAGGAUGUGUUUGACUUCAAGCUUUUUGCCAAGCUGGAUGCCUUCUGUUUAAAUAUUUGUGAUGAAAAAAAGAACAUUGCAGAGAUCAAGAUACAAGGUCUUGACUCAUCUCUUUGCCUUCAGCCAAGCCAAACUGUAUUCUUUGCCCGACUUAAGGACAUAGUUGUCACAGAUGUUGAUUCAAGGACCCUUCAUAAAAAAGCUGUGUCUAUAGUGGGAGAUGAAGUUUUCAGUUUCAAUCUGACAUUAAAUCCUCAUGCUACUGAGGGAGAAGCCUACACUGACAUGUCAAAAGUGGAUGGUUCUGUAUGUUUGAAAGUGGGCUGCAUCCAGCUGGUGUACCUUCACAAAUUUCUCAUGUCUCUCCUGACCUUCUUGAACAACUUCCAGACAGCCAAGGAGACCCUGAGUGCUGCCACAGCCCAGGCUGCAGAGAAGGCUGCCACCAGUGUGAAGGACCUGGCCCAGAGGAGUUUCCGCCUCGCCAUGGACAUUCACCUGAAAGCACCAGUCAUUGUUAUCCCCCAGUCCUCCAUCUCCCCCAAUGCCAUAGCAAUAGAUCUGGGCUUGAUUAAGGUUCAGAACCAGUUUGUCUUGGUGUCCUCAGAGGGCAGUUCACUCCCUCCAGUCAUUGACAAAAUGGAUGUGCAGCUGACAAAGCUGAAACUGUCAAGGAUCACUUUGGAGACAGAUUUGACACAUCCAGAUAUUCAGAUACUUCACCCUAUUAAUUUAAGCUUGUCUGUGAAAAGAAAUCUCUCUGCAGCUUGGUUUCACAAGUUACCAGUGUUGGAGGUCACAGGGUAUUUGGAUACAAUGAAUGUUGUGUUAAGUCAAGAGGAUUUGAAUGUCUGUCUCAAAGUGUUGACAGAAAACCUGGGUGAAGCAGAAGAGACUCAAAAGGAUGCAAAAUCAGUGCUGCAGAAGGAAGGUAAAAUGAAAGAAGUGGAGAGAUCAAUUUUGAUACAGGAUAAGAGUGUUUCAGAAGGAUUGCUGUCUGAAAAGAGAAAAAUAACAAUAAAUGAAGAUGUAAUCAAUAUGCUACUUAAUUUUGAAAUCAAAGAGGUUGUAAUAACCCUGAUGAAGCAGGUUCAGAAGGAGAGAUAUCCAUUACAUAUUCUAACUGUGCUACAGCUUGGCACCAAAACCAAAAUUAGAAAUCAUGAAUUGGCUGCAGCAGCAUAUCUGAAGAAAAUUACAAUGAGAUGCACUGAAAUACAUGACUCAAAAGGAGAUCCUCUUUGCAUUCUUAAUUCCUCAAGUGAGACAGAUGAACAUCUUUUGAAAAUGGAGUAUAUUAAGGCUGAUCCUGAUGGACCAGACUUUGUUACUACUUACCAAAGCACCAAGCAAAACAUGAAUGUCAUCUUUUCCUGUUUGGAUAUAGUGCUUCACACUGAGGCUUUGCUUUCCAUCAUGAGUUUCCUCACCUUCAGUGUUCCAUCAGGUGGUCUUCCCAGUGCUGAGAAAUCUUCAGAGCACAAGCCUCCAAUGAAAGAGCAGGAAAAAGGAAGCACUCUUAGACCAGUGUCUGGUGAUGCAGCCCAUGAUGAUGUCUCUGAAUUAAAGCUCACUGCAAAGCUGAAUGCAUUCAGUAUUACAGUGUGUGAUCAGACCUGCACAAUUGCAGACAUUAGAGUACAAGGAAUGGAUGCAUCUGUGGCUAUGAAGCCUAAAGAGAUUAAAGUGUUCUCCAGACUUAAGGACAUUGUAAUUACAAAUGUUGAUCCAAAAACAAUCCAUAAAAAGGCUGUCUCCAUAAUGGGAGAUGAAGUGUUUAGAUUUCACAUGUCACUUUAUCCAGAUGCCACUGCAGGGGAGGCCUAUGCUGAUAUGUCAAGAGUGGAUGGUAAAAUGUCUCUGAAAGUGGGCUGCAUCCAAAUAAUUUACCUGCACAAGUUCUUCAUGUCUCUCUUGAACUUCCUGAACAAUUUCCAAGCAGCACAAGAAGCCCUGACUGCAGUCACUGCACAGGCAGCAGAAAUGGCUGCUUCCAGCAUGAAGGACUUUGCUAAAAAGAGCUUCCGCCUCCUGAUGGAUGUCAACUUGAAAGCUCCAGUCAUAGUUGUCCCUGAAUCUUCAGCUUCAUCUAAUGCUUUGGUAGCUGAUCUUGGCUUAAUCAGAGUUCAGAAUGAAUUCAAGCUGGUGUCCUCAGAUGAAUCUCCUCUCCCUCCAGUCAUUGACAACAUGGAUGUGCAGCUGACUCACUUGAAAUUAUCAAGGUGCAUUAUAUCCACAGAUUCACAACCAGAUUCUGAAAUUCUGCGUCCUGUGAGUUUGACUUUACUGGUCCAGAGAAAUUUAGCAGCAGCAUGGUAUCAUAAAUGCCCAACAAUUGGUAUCAAAGGAGACCUAAAACCAAUGCAGAUUGCACUCAGUGAAGGUGAUCUAACUGUUAUCAUGAAGAUUUUACUUGAAAACCUUGGAGGGGCUUCUUCCCAGCCACAUACUGUGCAGGAGAAUAUUGAGGAUAUGCAGAUACCUAAAAAAGGGAAAGCUCCACAUGAAUCAGGUGGCUCUGAGGGUACCCUUGUUGAUUCUGGACAAAAAUGUGAUUCUGCAGUUCAGUCUUCUGUGGAGUGCUCUACAUUGCUUAAAUUUGACUUCAAUUUUGAGUCCCUUUCUGUAACUCUGUACAACAGUGACACAACUCAGGGGUCUCUGCUCUCAGUGCACAGUGACAGGCUGCGCCUCGGGGAGCUCCGGCUGCACCUCAUGGCAUCCGCAGGGCACAUCUUCUCAGAUGGCUCCAUGGACAUCACUGUCAAACUCAAGGCAUGCACCUUGGAUGAUCUCAGGGAAGGAAUUCAGAAUGUCACUGCAAGAAUGAUAGACAAGAAAGAUGACACAAAUGACACUUCUAUGAUUGAUAUAAGAUACAAGCAGGAUAAAAAUGGAACUGAAGUUGUUGCUGUCCUCGACAAGCUGUACAUAUGUGCUAGUAUGGAAUUUUUGUUGGCAGUAGCACAUUUUUUCAUUAAGUCAAUGCCAGUGUCUUCAGCUGAAGGAUCUGCACAAUUCCAAUUAAAGCAAGUUGCUGCUGGGAAAUCCAAGGCAGAUACAGAGAUAUCUGUACGGCCAAACAUGACAGUAAAAGCUGUGAUUCUGGAUCCAGAAAUUGUAUUUGUUGCUAACUUGACCAGUGCUGAUGCCCCUGCCUUAAAAGUUUCCUUCCAAUGUGACUUUUCUCUGACAUCAGACAAGCUUGCACAAAGGAUGACUGCUCAAGUGAUGGCCUUCAAAGUGUUGGCCUGUGCUUUUCUCAAAGAAAAACAAGGCAAGAAUGUUACUACGGUGUUACGGCCAUGCUUUUUGGUCAUGGAAAAUAUGGUGCACACUUCAGGGUUACACACUGUGGCAGUAACAAUGGAGGAACUAACUAUUAAGAUAUCACCAAUAAUUUUGAAUACUGUUGUGACCAUUAUGGCUGCCCUAAAACCCAAAACAGCAGAGGAGGAUUCCAGAGGAGCAGCAGAAGUUUCUGAGAACUUGUGGCAAGUGAAGCCUGUGGAUGAGUGCAAUGCUUGGUUCCUUGGUGUUGACAUAGCCACAGAAGCAACAGAAACUUUUAGGGACCAUGAACAAAUUCUGAAGCAAGAGAAAUUUGAUAUUGUAGUGAAAUCAGUUCAGAUGACCUUGGAAUGUGGCCUGGGCCAUCGGACUGUCCCUUUAUUGUUGGUGGAAUCUGCAUUUUCAGGUGUCCUUAAAAACUGGUCCUCACUGAUGGAGGUCACUGCUGAUAUGUCACUGGAGGUUCAUUAUUACAAUGAAACCUAUGCAGUGUGGGAGCCCCUUAUUGAACGAGUUGAAGGAGGAAGGAAGCAAUGGAAUUUAAAGCUAGAGAUGAAGACUAACCCUGUCCAGGAGAGGAGUCUGCUGCCUGGGGAUGAUUUCAUUGUUAUUCCUGAGCCACAAACAGCAAUUAACAUCUCUUCAAUGGACACAAUGAACAUAACAAUAUCCAAAUGUUGUCUUGCUGUUUUCAGUAACCUAGCCAAGGCAUUUUCAGAAGCAACUGCAUCCACCUUUGGCUAUUCCUUUAAAGAGACAGCACCUAUCAUAGUGAAGAAUGCCCUGGGUGUUCCUCUCAAAGUGAUUCCUAGCUCCAAUUUUCGGAUAGUGGGUUCAGUUGAAAAAGAAAAUGUGAAUGAAAUAGAAACUGGUCAGAGCAUGGAACUGGAAUAUUCUGUUUUUGAAGCACCCCAGCGAGGAAGGUUGUCUGCACUGCACCGACAGGAAAGCUCUGUCUUCUCUUUAAAUUUAGAGCUGGAGGGAUACCAGGAGGCGCUGAGCAUUCCCGUGGCCAAGCCAGGCCGGCGCCUGUACAGCGUCAGGGCCGGCGCCGAGCGCCCCCCACACGACUCGGUGCUGGUGCAGAUCGACGCCACGGAAGGGAAUAAAGUCAUCACUGUGCGCUCCCCUCUGCAGAUCAAGAACCAUUUCUCAAUUCCAUUUGUGAUCUACCAGCUGGCUAAAGGCUCCAAGUUGCUGAAGCCAAUUGGCAUAUCCAAGCCAGAAGAAGAGUUUCAUGUUCCUUUGCAUUCAUACAGGUGCCAUCUGUAUGUCCAACCAACAGGAAUAUUUGAGGGUCAGUACAAGGAGUCUACAACUUACAUUGCCUGGAGGGAAGAGCUACACAGGAGUGAUGAAGUCAAGUGCUUGUUACAGUGCCCAGCCACUGAGACCAAUUUCCUGCCUCUAAUAAUCAGCUCAGCAGCUGUACCUGAUGAACUGAGUUUUAUUUCAAGUUCUGUAGAGGAGUUGGAUCCUGCCUACAUUAUCCACCUUUGCCCUACACUGACUGUGAGGAAUCUUCUACCAUACACCUUGAGAUUUUUACUUGAGGGAACCGCAGAAGACCGUGAAUUAACUGAAGGCAGUGCUGCAGAUGUUUUUCACUCAAGAAUCAGUGGAGAAAUAAUGGAGCUUGUGUUGUUAAAAUACCAAGGCAAAGACUGGCAUGGCCAUCUCAAAAUCUGUGAUGGGAUGUGUGAAUUUUUCCCUGUGCGUUUCGUGUCCCACAGUGCCUCAGAGCUGGCCGUGGAUGUUUACAUCCAUGCCAGGCGGGUCGGCGGCCACAUGGUCCUGGCUGUGUUCAGCCCCUACUGGAUUAUCAACAAGACCUCCCGAGUUCUGCAGUACCGAGCUGAAGACACUCAUGUGAAGCAUCCAGCAGACUACAGAGAUAUUGUUUUGUUCUCUUUUAAAAAGAAAAAUAUUUUUAGUAAGAACAAGAUCCAGCUCUGUAUUUCAACCAGCACUUGGUCCAACAGCUUUUCCCUUGAUACUGUGGGAAGCUAUGGAUGUGUCAGGUGUCCAGCUAAUAACAUGGACUACCUGGUUGGAGUCAGCAUCACAAUGAGCAGUUUCAACCUUACCAGGAUAGUUACCUUCACUCCAUUCUACACAAUAGCAAACAAAUCUUCUCUGGAACUUGAAGUUGGAGAAAUUGGUCCUGAUGGUUCUCUUCCAACUAAUAAAUGGAGUUAUAUCUCGGCUUCAGAGUGUCUUCCAUUUUGGCCUGAAAACUCAUCUGGUGAACUUUGUGUAAGAGUAGUUGGCUAUGAAAGCUCAUCCAAACCAUUCCUGUUUAAAGCCCAGGAUAAUGGUACUCUGCUGAAACUGGAAGAAUUGAAUGGGGGCUUGCUGGUAGAUGUGAAUGUCUCAGAGCAUUCUACUGUGAUCAGCUUCACAGAUUACCACGAGGGAGCUGCCCCAGCUCUGAUAGUGAACCACACUCCGUGGGACUCCCUCAGAUAUAAACAGAGUGGAUUACAGGAGGAAAUGGAGUUGAAACCAAGGCAAGUAUGCCUCUUUGCCUGGACAGAUCCAACCAAACCAAGAAAACUGACUUGGGGCUACUCUCAAUGUUUUGGUGAACAUGACCUACUUAAGGAUGACUGUGGCCAGUUCCCCUACAAUGCAAACACUCAGAUUCACUGGGUGUCUUUCCUGGAUGGACGACAGCGAGUGCUGCUUUUCACAGAUGAUGUGGCUCUGGUGUCCAAAGCACGACAAGCAGAGGAGCUGGAGCAACCUGACCAAGAAAUAAACUUGUCAAUCCAUAGUCUUGGACUUUCUCUAGUUAACAAUGAAAAUAAAAAAGAAAUCUCUUACAUAGGAAUUACUAGUUCUGAUGUUGUUUGGGAACGGAAACCAAGGCAAAAGUGGAAACCAUUUAAUCAAAAACAAAUAAACCUAUUGGAACAAGCAUAUCAAAAGUAUCUCUCCAAGACUGCUUUCCAAGGUCCUGGUUGGCAUAAACUGGACAGCAAUACUGAGGUGAAUUUUAGCAAGUCUCCAAUGGAAAUGCGUCUCCCCGUCAGAUGCAGCAUCCGCCGUAACUUCCUGUCAGGAAUUCAGGUUGAAUUCAAGCAGUCACCUCACCAAAGGAGCCUACGGGCUCAGCUCUACUGGCUGCAGGUUGAUAAUCAAUUACCAGGAUCGAUGUUUCCUGUUGUAUUUCACCCUGUGGCCCCUCCCAAGUCCAUUGCUUUGGAUUCAGAACCAAAGCCCUUCAUUGACAUCAGCAUCAUCACUAGAUUCAAUGAAUACAGCCAAGUCCUGCAAUUCAAGUACUUCAUGGUUCUUAUCCAGGAAAUGGCACUGAAAAUUGAUCAAGGAUUUUUAGGAGCACUUAGUGAACUUUUCACUCCAUCUACAGACCCAGAAGCUGAAAGACAAAGGUCUAAAUUAAUUCAGCAAGAUUUGGAUGCACUUAACACUGAGCUGAUGGAGUCUUCCCUAACAGAUGUGUCAAUGCUCAGCUUCUUUGAACAUUUCCAUAUUUCUCCAAUUAAGUUGCAUUUGAGUUUGUCCCUGGCUGCUGGUGGAGAAGCAUCAGAUAAGGGGGAAGAAAUGAUAGCCAUCCAUUCUCUGAAUUUGCUGUUGAAAAGUAUUGGAGCUACUCUAACAGAUGUGGAUGAUGUUGUUUUCAAACUCGCUUUCUUUGAAAUUAAAUACCAGUUCUACAAGAGAGACCAACUGAGGAUGAGAGUUAUUAGGCAUUACAGUGAACAAUUCCUGAAACAGAUGUAUGUUCUUGUACUUGGAUUAGAUGUUCUUGGAAAUCCAUUUGGUUUGAUCAGAGGGCUGUCUGAGGGAGUUGAAGCUUUCUUCUAUGAGCCAUUCCAGGGGGCUGUUCAAGGACCUGAAGAAUUUGCUGAAGGCUUUGUAAUUGGUGUUAGAAGUCUUCUUGGGCACACAGUGGGUGGGGCAGCAGGGAUGGUGUCCAGGAUCACUGGCACCGUUGGCAAGGGCUUGGCUGCCAUCACUCUGGAUGAGGAAUUUCAGCAGAAAAGGAGAGAGGAGAUGGGACGGCAGCCCAAGGACUUUGGGGAGAGCCUGGCCAAAGGAGGGAAAGGCCUGUUAAGGGGUGUUGUUGGAGGUGUGACAGGCAUCAUCACUAAACCAGUAGAAGGGGCCAAAAAAGAAGGUGCAGCUGGAUUCUUUAAAGGCAUUGGGAAGGGGCUGGUAGGAGUGGUAGCCCGGCCGACAGGAGGCAUUGUGGAUAUGGCAAGCAGCACCUUCCAGGGAAUCCAAAGGGUGGCAGAAUCAACUGAGGAAGUGUCAAACCUGCGUCCCCCACGCCUCAUCCGAGAGGAUGGCAUCAUCCGGCCCUACAACAGGGUGGAAGCUGAGGGCUAUGAUUUAUUUGAGCAAGAACUGGAAUAAUGGAGUAAACAUUUUCCAUAUUUCUUGUCUGUUUCUUUCAUGGUUUUUCAUCUGCCUUAAGUAUUUAGAUCAAGGGCAUGAUUGCAUUUACCAUGUCCUCUCCCCUUCUCAAUCUUUUCUGUGUAGCAGUUCAAUAAAGCGAUGUUUGAUGUUGUCCAGGCUCAGCAAACAAACUUGAAUAACCAUCUUCAGUAAGAUUAGAUGGGAGAGACAGGGAGGGCUUGUUUCCUGUAUAUUUAUUUUUCUGUGGAUGCUUAGCUCCUUAUGAAUGGCAACAACAGAAGGCACUUGGAAAAAAGGAUCACAGUAGGUUAGAUCCUGAAUUUAUUUAUUUAUUGGUGCUCUCCUAGAGGUAGGGCUGUGGACAGAGGGGCAGAGCAGAUCUUGAGUAAAAUUUAAAACAGUGAUAGAGAAUGGAAUUUACUUCUGGGAAAAUGUUUGUAAUAUCAAGUUUUUAUAGAAGUGCUGAGAAAACCUGAACUUGUGGUUUCUGUGCUGUGCCAUAACCCUGACAGCUACACACAUACUGACCCACUCUGCCUUCAGGUUACUACUGCUGGUUCUUUAUGAAUUUGCUCGGUUAAACAUACAGCUGGCUUAGUUCACUCUAGCUUUUAGUCACAGAAUCUUCAGGGGCUUUAUUCUUCAAAAUAAAAAUAAGUACAAACUGUCAGCUGUUAACAGGAAUUCACACACAAACACAUAUAUAAAUAAGUAUAUAUGUAUUUCUAUACUAAGCAAUGCCAUAAACUUCAUUACUAAUACAUUUUAGAAAUUAGCAAACUAAGCUUAAGCUGUUGUCAGAGCAAAUUUUUUGCCUACUAUAUGGGAAAAAUGUUGAACAGAAGCCUUUUUGCUUUUAGAAUGUAAUGGUCAAUUUAAAAUCAUUCAAAAGAACAUUUAGUGAGUUUUUUUAGAGGAUUAAAUGAAAUUAAGUUGUGAUAUACUAAGCAGGCCCAAUUUUUUCUUUUUGAAUGUUUUGGUUUGGGUUUUUUUUCUCCCUAUGUUUUUUAUAUCUGGCAAAAAGGAAAAGAUGGCACAGUCAACACGGAAAAUUUGAUAUUAUGCAGUUCCUUCACAUCUGGUAUUUGUAUUUUUCUUAAGAGGUGUAGAUUGGAAUGGGAUGCAAACCAGGAAUAUAUCCUCUGUACAGUUCACCAAGUACAGUUGGUUUCUUUCAACAAGUCACUUAAUGGAAUACAGGAGAGGUUUAAUUAACUGUUCUUGGUUUUCGUGCUAGAGGUCAGUGUUGGGAAGGCUUUGUUUUCUAAUGUAAGCUAGCAAGCAAUGUAAAGCAAGACAGGACAGUGUCUUUACAUGAAAUUGGAUAUUUCAUGAAAAAAAGAGUCAGUCCUAUGUGCAUUUACAAAUUUAAUCACAAUAGGUACAAGUGCUGCUUAUUUUUGAAUCCUAUAUUAGAAGUAGUUCAACCAGGACCCACACCUUCUCAUCUACUUUAGCUACAUUCAAUGCAUAUGUCCCUUUAAAAUAAAUAUAAACUCACGGGGUGGAAACCUUGUAAGGUUACCUUAAGGAUCAGAUGCCUCAGUACCAUCCAGUGAUUGGAUGGAAAAAAUGUUUUACUUAAUUACUUUUGUGUGAAAUGUAGGCAUUAGAGCUUGUCUUAGAGGAGCAAAAUGUAGGUUUUAAAAGGAAAGUGAGGGGUUUGGUGCAAACUGAGGGUGAAGUAGAUGAGUUGAGUUGUGUGAAGUUGUUUCUGCAGUUCCUUGUCCCAGAAGUGCUGGCUGUGGUGUCUGUGGGAUGUGCUCAGUGAGUCCCAGAGCUGGGAGUGAGAUGUGAUGUGAGCAGGCUGUGCCUCAGCUCAUGGGCAGCAUAUUGGAAUAUGUAUCCCAAUAUAACCAGUUAGAUGGUGCCUAGGCCAGUUCUGACCCUCGCUGCUGGGCCAAAGGCAGCACUGUGGUGUUUUACCCCAGAGAUACUUUGGCUGGCGGCAGAGUGCAGCGGGGCACAAGACAGGACUCUGUUCUCCUCAGGAGAGAGAGCUUCUGGCGAUAGUGGAGAUAAAAGGAGUGGAUUCUGCUAGAAGGUUGCCAGAUGUUUAUUCCAUUGGUACAGAGGCGUCUGCACUGGGCCACUGCUGCUAACAGAAUGCCGGCCACAUGGUCUCAUUAACCUUAUAAGCUCGGGGACAGGGGAAGGGGAGGGGACAGGUGAGUUACCAACCAGCUGAAGGGGGCAGGGUCUCAAGGGAGGAUGACACUUAGACAGGCCAAUGACCCCCAGGCCUGAGGAGCAUCCUUUGAAAUCGACGAAUCACACGACGCCUUGCUGGUAUGUUAGCCUGAUUGACAGGGCACACUCAGCAAGGGGGCGAGGGGGCAGGGAGAGAGGCAUAGGCACACCUGGGAAGGGACUCGGAAGUUUAAAACAGGACAUUGCAACACACCGCAACAGCAGCACACCCUGGCUUUGCUACUCAGAAAUGCACAGCAGAGCUCAGAGGGCAAAGAGGGCAGCUCCAGGGGAAUUGUUUGCCGAGGAAUCACUUCUCAAGAGUUCAGUCAUGGUGUGAGCAGUGUUGGAGCUGAGCUUUGCAGGAGCAGGUGCUGGAGCCCUGGUGUGGUGGGGCUGUGCCUGUGCUGGCAGGGCUGUGCUGGCCCGGCUCCCCAGGGCUGCCAUGAUGUCACUCAUGCAUUAUUCAAUGCCCGUGGCAUUACUUUGUUUCACAUCCCAGUUAAAGCAGGAGCUUUAUAAAGAAUGCAGAACACCUCAUGAAUAAUUGAGGCAGGGUGGUGAGGCAGUGUUGUGUGGCAGAGCGUAGACUAUGCUGGAAACUGCAGAUUCUAUUUCUGCUGUGUAAAUCUGCAUUGCUUCUUUCAUUUCCAUGUAAAAUAAGAAUGAGUUAACUUCUUCAAAGUGCUGUACUAUGCUCAUAAAAAUAACAGCUUUUGAUUAAGAUGUCUAAAUUUUAAGAGUGUGCAGAUCAUGGAGUAAUUUCCAUCAAGUGCAAGCUCCUUUUUACAUAAUGCCACCACCAUUGUGCUGGCAUCUAUCAGGUGUAUUGAGAAUAGCUCACAAACACAGCAUCUUUUAGGCACAGGCCUCAGUGGGAGCUCUUACUUUGGUAACAUAUUGCAUGUAAAAUCUAAAAAUACUAUUGGGAUUGUUUCUGAAGUUAGGAGAAACAGGCUUUCUCUCCAAAGCUUUGAGUUUGACUAGAGAAAUAUGCUUAUGAAUAAAUCUGUUUAAAUAUGUGGCAUGUCUAAUUUCUUCAUAUUCAACAAAAGGAUUCAGAAUAUGGAUUGCAGCCUUUGAAUUACAGUUCUCACAUGGUGGUGGGUUUUCUAUUUCUUAAAUUUUUUACUUGUUUUUGAAACAGCUAAGGUUCAGGUAUAAAAUGUGAGUUCAUAUUUUCAUUUUAGUCAUAUGCUGCCAUGUUUCUUCUAAUGUUUUGAAGAGGCUUUGAGAUAAGCAGUUGUUCUGGCAUCUUUUUUUCCUUUCAUAUGUACACUGUACAGUUUCAGAAAUUUUUAAGAUGGACAGAAAGGGAUAUUUUUUAUAGAAGAUGUUGGUUGACCCUAUGGUUUUGCUUACUAAAAAAUGCUGGAUUAAAAUGUGUUUCAAAACACAACAUCACUAGAGUGCAAGUCUAGGAAAACACGAUGCUGUUGAUUUCAGCUCUUGAAUAUUCAUCCGCUUUUGAGAUUAAAGGAUUUUUUGGAGUCAGUUGUGAUUUAUGAUGAUGCUUUAAGAUAUUUGUUGAACUUUUGAAUAUAUGAAAAUAAAAUGCAAAUAAAAAAAAUUCAAAUGUUCUUUUAAUUGAUUCUUAUGUAAGCUGAUCUUUCAAUUUUGGUUACUGAAACUGCAUAGAAUGAAACCUGUUAAUCACAGACAGACAAGUGUGGAGUCAAGUGCAGCCUCUAUUGUCAUCUCAUUGGUUUUUGGGUCUAUCUAAGGAAAUAAAAAAGAAAUGGCUAUUUACAAGAAGUAACUAAAAACCUACUGAAUUCUUAGUUCUUCCUCUUUAGGUUGUUGUUACUGGUUUGUCAGAAACUUGAGGAAUGAGACCUUGAGGAAUUUACUUGAAUUCCACAGUAAGAGCUGUAAAAUGAACUGAAAGUUGUCCUACUUUGCUCUGAAGAAUAUCAAACCAAUUUUGGGGCACCCAUUUGCUAAAAGUUCAUCUGAAAUAUUUGCAUUCUGCAUCCAGGCAUUCUUGCUUAUGAUUCCCCAUGUUUCUACACAGGAGCUGCCCAUUUUCCCUUAAAACAGUUUAUAUCAUAAAAAAGGUGCUUGUAUUGACCUGGAGGGUGCUAUUGACCUUGGAGGGUACUGAAUAAAGUCAAUGUACAUUGACUUUAUACUUAUAUAAUUGUCUGGCUACUUUUUGCUAAUUAAACACUAUUUUUCAGUGUAUUUUUUAAAAGACUUACUGCAUAUUAGGAAAACCAGUAGUUGAUAUAGAUUUAUUGUCAUACUGACUUUGAGGCUAGGUUCCCACUGGUAGCAUGUUAUUAAUUUCAUACUUUAAUCUUUUCCUGCAUGAUGUUUGAUGUGUGUUCCUUUCCCACAGACAUGCUCAGGUACCACUCUGUGAGUCUUGCUUGUCUUUAAUCCAGGGUUAUUGGGAGCUUGGUGUGGGGGUGACUGUGAGCCUGUAUUCUGUGCUGUGUUGUUGGUGGAAUAUUGCAAUCCUGGUGACAUGCUCUAGGAAACAUUUUACUUCAGUCAAAGAGUAUGUACAGAAUGGGAAAUCUGAAAAAAACCUCAAUGAAUCAGUGCCAAAAAAAUCCUAGGAGUAUCAUAGGAUCCUAUCCUUCAGUACUUUAUUUCAAAACUUUUUCUGUGCUUGUAGGUUGUCACUUGAGUUGUGGUUGUCUAAUCAAAAUGUGAUGAGUGAUUUAAUCUGCACUUUCAUACACUUUUGUAUUUUGGGUAUUGAAUGGUCAUAUCUGCUCAGUUCAGAACCCUGAUUUUGAGGUGUAUUGAGCAUUUGUAUCUUGAGAGUUUGUUUCUGAGGGUCAGAGUCAUGUGCCUUAUAAAAAUGCAUGACCUUUGCAGGGUUUUCACUCUUGAAUGAAGCCUGCAGCAUGGGCUGUGGCAGCAUGAGCAUUAUUAAACAAUUGCUAGCACAGAAAGGAAAUCAAAGCUGAAGAAAUAGUGUGAUACAGCAGUGUCAGUGUUGUGCCUUUGAGUGGAAUGGAUCAGACUUCUCAGUGACUCAGCUUCAGGACUGAGAGCACUGUGAGAACCUCCCUUUAAAGAACUAACCAUGAGAAGUUGCACAUCAGGAAGUUGGAAAAAGAGGUUUAUCGAUACCACUGUCCAAUUCCAAGAGGCAGAAGAGCAAAUCUUAUUGUUACCAACAGG
Molecule: RNA transcript, 16305 nt
Organism: Zonotrichia leucophrys gambelii
Lineage: Eukaryota; Metazoa; Chordata; Aves; Passeriformes; Passerellidae
Gene: VPS13C
Gene name: vacuolar protein sorting 13 homolog C
Exons: 83
Source: RefSeq, a predicted model, not a curated record